This is a long non-coding RNA of Cygnus olor (mute swan), 1479 nucleotides long. RefSeq lists it as uncharacterized. The transcript is spliced from 4 exons. The record is from RefSeq and is a predicted model, not a curated record. NCBI's taxonomy places the organism in Eukaryota, Metazoa, Chordata, Aves, Anseriformes, Anatidae.
UGGUGAUCAGUGCUUGGAGUUGCUGCAGCUGGUGGCUCCUUCCUCCUGCUGGGCUUUUGGUUUCAUGAUUAGAUAGAUGCUGGUCUAGCUCCUGAUCCAGUCCAGGUUCUUAUGCUGGCUUUUACUGUAUUGGAGCUGACUUUUGAAGCAGGUGUCCCAUUCCUCAUGAAGAGAAGCCUUGUGUUGUUGGUGCCCAGGCCGUGUGACGCAGUACAGCAUGGUCUUACAAUAUCCCUGCUAUUGUGAUAUUUGGGAAUUCACCAAGUUGAGAGUCACAGUCAGAGACUAGUAACCAAUUUCUGGAUUACUACUUCCAAGGGAAUCUUAGAUGCCGUUCUGAAAUGCUGUGCAGCCAGCACUGCUGCUGGCUGUGUCCCUCAUUUGCAUGAGGAAGGUUCGGGUGUUUUCUCAGCUGCUGGGCUCAAAGACCUGCCUGCUGGAGGUAUUUUCUCUUCAGCUUCCAUAACCAAGAUAGAAAUUAAUGAAAAAGGUACAGCACUAGCACAAUCGAUAGCAGCCAUAUUUCUUCAAAGGACUUAAUUUUCUGUUUUUCAUGUUUCUCAAAUAGCUUUUCUGCUGCACAACAGGGGAAUGUGCCAAACCACUUGAAACUUAAUGGUAAAUGUAUUUUUCAGAUAAUCAGAAUUCCAAACAAAUGCUUUUACCCAUCAGAUCAUUCACUUCCCAUGAUAAAUCUUUACAGCAUAUGUAUAAUCCUUCAAAUUACUUUUUAAUCUCUUAUGUAGGCUGAGAUUUAAUUUUUUUUUAUCAGGAUGGGUAAUUUUUUGCACUUUACACAUUUCUGGGAGAUAUUCUUAAAAUUAUAGAGGAGAUUCUUUCCCGCAAAUCUUUUUCAGUUGAUAUAAAGACUAUGUAUUAAAUCUACUCAUGAGGUAGUUUCUUCAUUUAUGUUCAGAAUCAAUUAACAGUGCUGAGUGUUUAUAAACAGUAAUUGUUGAGGUUGCAUAUGAAUCAAACUAAGUGAUUAAUUAAACAUUUUAAACUAAAUUGCAAAUGCUCAUUACUUUUUAGUAUUUUUCUAUAUUUUACCUCUUAUUUAUUGCUUGGGCCAUAUGCUCAGCACUGACAAAGCCUCAGUUUUAAUUCUGUAUUCAGUUUGGGGUGAAGCAUUUAAAGAACGAUACGCAUUUGGAGUGAGUCAACAAGAGAGUAACAAAAAUGGGAUGUUAUCUACAAAAUAGCACACAUACAGAAGAGACUUUAGCUUACAAAAUCAAGAAAAGCUGGGGGGUGGGGUGGGGGAGGAAGGUUUAGGGAACCAAAAUAAAUAAAACCAAGGAGGAAGGUGGUGGUAGUUUUUCUUUAUUUAAAAGGCUGCUAUGGAGUGGAGAGAGUGAGUCUGUUCUUCAUAUAAGCUUAACGGAGGAAUAGGAAAAAAUAGGGUUUGAAUUCUAAUGGAAAAAAUAGUUUUGGAAAUUACGGAAAAUUUUUAAACUUAUGACCUGAGCAGGUUAUCGA